This is a long non-coding RNA of Oncorhynchus tshawytscha (Chinook salmon), 511 nucleotides long. The record is from Ensembl. NCBI's taxonomy places the organism in Eukaryota, Metazoa, Chordata, Actinopteri, Salmoniformes, Salmonidae.
GGGGAGAGAGAGACGUGCCUCUAGCAGGGAGAGAGAGAGACGUGCCUCUAGCAGGGAGGGAGAGAGACGUGCCUCUAGCAGGGAGGGAGAGAGACGUGCCUCUAGCAGGGAGGGAGAGAGACGUGCCUCUAGCAGGGAGGGAGAGAGACGUGCCUCUAGCAGGGAGGGAGAGAGACGUGCCUCUAGCAGGGAGGGAGAGAGACGUGCCUCUAGCAGGGAGGGAGAGAGAGACGUGCCUCUAGCAGGGAGGGAGAGAGACGUGCCUCUAGCAGGGAGGGAGAGAGAGACGUGCCUCUAGCAGGGAGGGAGAGAGAGACGUGCCUCUAGCAGGGAGGGAGAGAGACGUGCCUCUAGCAGGGAGAGAGACGUGCCUCUAGCAGGGAGGGAGAGAGAGACGUGCCUCUAGCAGGGAGGGAGAGAGAGACGUGCCUCUAGCAGGGAGGGGAGAGAGAGGUGCCUCUAGCAGGGAGGGAGAGAGAGAGGUGUGCCUCUAGCAGGGAGGGAGAGAGAG